Long non-coding RNA from Pan troglodytes (chimpanzee), 727 nucleotides. RefSeq lists it as uncharacterized. The transcript is spliced from 2 exons. Lineage: Eukaryota; Metazoa; Chordata; Mammalia; Primates; Hominidae. The record is from RefSeq and is a predicted model, not a curated record.
AGCGGCUGUUGCCGGGGCAACUGCUCCCGCUCGGGGCAGCGAGGGCCGGUCAGUCUCGAGAAUUAAGACGGAGGGCCUCCUCGGACCCUACAGAGUUGUUUGAAUAACAUUUUUCCGUUUGUGGGAACCCUAACCCUAAUCCACUUUGUGCUGUCCCAGGACUCGCAUAGAGGAGUGCAGGUUCUGAUUCCUGCUGGGAAGAAAAAUGAUUAGGACUGUAAAGCCUUCUAGCUCCCUCUUGCCAAAAAGAGGCUGGUCACAGAGGCGGGAGACAGUCUGUUAAGCGGGGAGCUGACCAUCUGAGGACAGACACUGAGGAAGGAGGAUGGAAUGAUUUUGGCAGUGAAUGACAAUUCCUUCAACAAGACCCCCCUCCCACACUCACUUCAAAGGAACAGUGGACAGGAUGUGCUUUCCAAAAUACUGCAGUUUAAUUCUGAAAAACUCAAAUGCAAGAGGCCCAGAGCUGUCUACGGGAUUGGAUCUCCUGCAACCUGCCUUGGGCCCCAGAAGAGACUGGCAAUGUCAGCCUCCUCCCUGCUCUGCCUGAGAGAGGCCACGGAGAACUUCCUUAUCGGGCCCAAACUGGAGCCGCUGACUGCUCAGAGCAAGAUUUCUGCCUUGAAAGCAAAUGCAGUAGCCUCAGAAAUGUGCAGCGCAUGCUUCUUCCUCCCCCUCUCCCCCUCCAGUCCGGCAGAGCUGCAGUAAAGAUGCCUGCAGGUCAUGA